This 178-nucleotide ribosomal RNA is filed under the name Giardia duodenalis. RNAcentral's name for it is "Giardia intestinalis partial small subunit ribosomal RNA". Lineage: Eukaryota; Fornicata; Diplomonadida; Hexamitidae. The record is from RNAcentral.
UCUGCGUCACGCUGCUCGCCCGCGGGCGCCCGCACUUGCGCGCACGUCUUGGCGCCGGGUUGCCAGCGGUGUCCGGCUAGCAGGGACCGCCGCGGGGGGUGCAACCGUUGUCCUGAGCCGUCCGCCGCCUCCCGGGUGUGCGGGCAUGCAUGGCUUGUGUCCUUGGGGAGAGCGUCAC